GUAGCAAUGCUCCAGGUGAGGGACCCUCGAAGCUGUGGUUGCAGGACCCAUCCCUGGUGCAGCUGGGCCCUCCCAUUGCCAGGUGAGGGGCGCCAGGCAUGUCGGGAAGGAGGGGGAUGUGGGUCAGCCGCGGAACUCAUGGGAACUCUGUUGGGACAGGAGUUGUGGGAAACGGCCACUUCCUCUCUCCUGGCACCUCUUCCUUCCAGACUUGCUGAUCGAGGCGCUGGCGGGAGAGAUCAGAGGCGAGAGGCCUUUCUUUCCUGGGUCGGCGAGGGGCCUUUCUUUCCUGGGUCGAUGGAGGUGGGCUCUGACGUUGGGUGAUGCGGGUGGCCUCCAGCUG
RNAcentral lists this long non-coding RNA (343 nucleotides) under Homo sapiens (human). RNAcentral's name for it is "HSALNT0177517". The record is from RNAcentral. Lineage: Eukaryota; Metazoa; Chordata; Mammalia; Primates; Hominidae.